UUCGAUCCUGGCUCAGAUUGAACGCUGGCGGGAUGCUUUAUACAAGUCGAACAGCAGCACGGACAGUCUAGUGGCGAGUGGCGAACGGGUGAGUAAUGUAUCGGAACGUACUAGUAGCGAGGAUAUUCGCGAAAGCGUAGCUAAUGCCGCAUACGCCCUUCGAAAGCGGGGACAUUGGAGCCUCGCCUAUGAAACGGCCGAUAUCGGAUUAGCUGGUUGGUGGGGUAACGGCUCACCGAAGGCGGGCGAUCCGUAUGGCUGGUUUGAGAGGACGACCAGCCACACUGGGACUGGAACACAGCCCAGACUCCUGCAGGAGGCAGCGGUGGGGAAUUUUGGACAAUGCGAAGCCCUGAUCCAGCCAUCCACGCGUGUGCGAUGAAUAUUCGGGUUGUAAACACUUUUUGGCAGGAAAGAAACAGCGAUAAUACCCCGUGCAACUGACGGUGCACCUGCGAAUAAACACCGGCUAACUACGUGCCAACGACCACCCGGUAAUACGUAGGGUGCAAGCGUUAAUCGGAAUCACUGGGCGUAAAGCGUGCGCAGGCGGUUCGGAAAAGAAGAUGCUGAAAUCCCAGAGCUUAACUUUGGAACUGCAUUUUUAACUACCGGCUAAGAGUGUAGUCAGAAGGAGGUGGAAUUCCGCGUGUAGCAGUGACUCGUAUUGCGGAAGACACGAUGGCGAAAACGACCUCCUGGGAUAACUGACGCUCGCCACGAAAAGCGUGGGGAGCAAACAGAUUAGAUGCCUGGUGAUCACCCUAAACAAUCAACUAGCUGUUGGGCCAACGGGCCUUGGUAGCGCAAUAACAUGAUAUGACCGCCUGAAGAUACAGUCGCAAGAUUAAAACUCGAAGAUUGACGAGGACCCACUACAAGCGGUGGAUGAUGGAUUAAUUCAGUGCAAGCACCGAAAAGCCUUCACCUGCCUUGACAUGUCUACUGAUCCCGAAGAGAUUUGGGAAGUGCUCACCGAAGGCAGAACACAGGUACUGCAUAAUAAUUCAGCUCGUGUCGUGAGAUGUUAGGUUAAGUCCCGCAACGAAGGCGCAACCCUUGUCAUUAGUUGCUACGAAAGGGCACUCUAAUGAGACUGCCGGUGACAAACCGGAGGAAGGUGGGGAUGACGUCAAGUCCUCAUGGCCCUUAUGGUAGGGCUUUACGUCGCAAUGGUCGGGACAGAGGGUCGCCAACCCGCAGGGGAGCACAAUCAGAAACCCGAUCGUAGUCCGGAUCGCAGUCUGCAACUCGACUGCGUGAAGUCGGAAUCGCUAUUAAUCAUGAGUCAGCAUGUCGCGGUGAAUACGUUCCAGGUCUUGUACACACCGCCCGUCACACCAUGGGAGUGGGUUUUACCAGAAAUGGAUUGGCCUAACCGUAAGGAGGAGCGAUUACCACGGUAGGAUUCAUGACUGGGGUGGAAGUCACAUCAACAAGGUAA
RNAcentral lists this ribosomal RNA (1444 nucleotides) under uncultured Bordetella sp. RNAcentral's name for it is "partial 16S-23S ribosomal RNA intergenic spacer". It matches the Rfam family "Bacterial small subunit ribosomal RNA". The record is from RNAcentral. Lineage: Bacteria; Pseudomonadati; Pseudomonadota; Betaproteobacteria; Burkholderiales; Alcaligenaceae.